UCUGUUUUUUUCUUUUCUCAAAAACCCAACAAAAUCAUCUCCCAUUGGCUGUUACGAUUGUGUCACCCAUAACUCGUUCCCACGAACUCACUUCUUCUUUCUAUUUCACUUACCCUGUUUUCUUCUCUUUUGUUGAAUGGUUUUUGCAGCAACCCCUGUUUCAAUUAAUCAGUUUCAUUUCCUUUUUUUUUUCUCUUUCCAAAUUCAAGUUUCAAAGUUUCGCUGGUCAAAGUUGAGUUUUCAAUGGAAUGAUAUUUUUUUUUUCUGUAUUUUAGUCUCUCUUCAAAAAUCCCAGCUUUAAUAAAAUAGAUAAAUAAAGAAAAAAAUAUUAUAUAUAUUUCUUGUUCCUCUUUUGUAUAUGACAGUUGGAUUCUUACGGGUGGCAUGAAGCCUUAGCUAAUACUACGAGCUAGAAGUUUUACGGAGUCAUAGUCGUAUUUGAAUUUUCUUCGUUAUUUGAUUCUUUGUCUAAUCUUCUGUACAUUUACUUAGAAAAUAAAGAAAGAGAGAGAAGAGUCAAGGGGUUUAGGUAGAAAAUUUGGGUGGUUUAUUUAUUAUAAAAAAAGGAAAGACCAUGAAUUGGGG
This 585-nucleotide long non-coding RNA is filed under the name Gossypium barbadense (sea-island cotton). RNAcentral describes it as "long non-coding RNA (GBAR_LNC002575)". Lineage: Eukaryota; Viridiplantae; Streptophyta; Magnoliopsida; Malvales; Malvaceae. The record is from RNAcentral.